GAAGCAUUCCGCCAUUUUUCUUGGAAGGAGAGGAGAGAAAGAACCCGAAAUGAACGGAAUAAACGUUUUGUUUGAACAGAUGAAAACGUUUCCUUUUUUUUUCUUUGUUUCUCUUUUUACUGGUGUGCUUCACAAAGACA
Molecule: non-coding RNA, 140 nt
Filed under: Palpitomonas bilix
Lineage: Eukaryota
Source: RNAcentral